Molecule: non-coding RNA, 181 nt
Filed under: Terriglobia bacterium
Lineage: Bacteria; Pseudomonadati; Acidobacteriota; Terriglobia
Description: 6S RNA
Rfam family: 6S / SsrS RNA
About the family: E. coli 6S RNA was the first non coding RNA to be sequenced, but its function was unknown until recently. It consists of 184 nucleotides that fold into an extended hairpin structure with a large single-stranded internal bulge.
Source: RNAcentral
AGACCCCUGCGGGGUGCGUGAUGGGUUGUUUCCCUUGAGCCAACGUCAGUACUUCGGGGGCCAAGGCUCGGAGGCGGUGUGCAAGCCCCUCUCGCAAGGGGAAGCCUGAAGCCGACGAGUCGCUCCCACCUGGUGAAUCAGGUUCAAUCGGAUCCGCCCACACGGCCCACGCGGGGGCCUA